Molecule: unclassified non-coding RNA, 294 nt
Filed under: plant metagenome
Description: partial contains small subunit ribosomal RNA, internal transcribed spacer 1, and 5.8S ribosomal RNA
Rfam family: Eukaryotic small subunit ribosomal RNA (bases 1-54)
Source: RNAcentral
GGAAGUAAAAGUCGUAACAAGUUUUCCGUAGGUGAACCUGCGGAAGGAUCAUUAAUGAGUUGUCAUGGGGUUCGAUGCUGGCAGCCAGUUUUUGGAUGCAUGUGCUUGCCCUAACAAUCAUCUUCUUCCAAACACCUGUGCACAUUUUUGAGGGAGUCUUGAGUUGGUUGCCGCUCUUGGGUGAUUUUCUCACAUUCCCUUAAAUCAUUAUACGCUAUUAACAAUGUUGAACGUGCUCUGUGCCGCAAGGCCAUUAAUAUAAUACAACUUUUAACAACGGAUCUCUUGGCUCUC